AAGGCGAACGCGGAGAACUGAAACAUCUAAGUACCCGCAGGAAAAGAAAUCAAACGAGAUUCCCCAAGUAGCGGCGAGCGAACGGGGAUUAGCCCUUAAGUUACAGUGGAUUUAGCAGAACAUUCUGGAAAGUUUGGCGAUAGAGGGUGAUAGCCCCGUAUGCGAAAGGUCCAUUGUAGUGAAAUCGAGUAGGUCGGGAC
This 200-nucleotide ribosomal RNA is filed under the name Eutreptiella gymnastica. RNAcentral's name for it is "partial Bacterial large subunit ribosomal RNA". It matches the Rfam family "Bacterial large subunit ribosomal RNA", at positions 176 to 423 of the family's 2925-position model. Lineage: Eukaryota; Euglenozoa; Euglenophyceae; Eutreptiales; Eutreptiaceae. The record is from RNAcentral.